This 520-nucleotide ribosomal RNA is filed under the name uncultured bacterium. Its description in RNAcentral is "bacterial SSU rRNA". It matches the Rfam family "Bacterial small subunit ribosomal RNA", at positions 8 to 524 of the family's 1533-position model. The record is from RNAcentral.
AGAGUUUGAUCAUGGCUCAGGACGAACGCUGGCGGCGUGCUUAAUACAUGCAAGUCGAGCGGACCUUUGCCGUUUGUUGCCGGUUUCCGGCGACAAAUGGCAAAGGUUAGCGGCGAACGGGUGAGUAACGCGUGGGUAAUCUGCCCCCAAGACCGGGAUAACAGAGCGAAAGCGCUGCUAAUACCGGAUGACCUCUCUUUAUCGCAUGGUGAAGGGAGCAAAGCUACGGCGCUUGGGGAUGAGCCCGCGUUCCAUUAGCUAGUUGGUGAGGUAACAGCUCACCAAGGCGACGAUGGAUAGCCGGCCUGAGAGGGUGACCGGCCACACUGGGACUGAGACACGGCCCAGACUCCUACGGGAGGCAGCAGUAGGGAAUUUUCGGCAAUGGGGGAAACCCUGACCGAGCAACGCCGCGUGAGGGAUGAAGGCCUUCGGGUCGUAAACCUCUGUCUUUGGGGACGAUAAUGACGGUACCCGAGGAGGAAGCCCCGGCUAACUACGUGCCAGCAGCCGCGGUAAU